Non-coding RNA from Oryza glaberrima (African rice), 205 nucleotides. The record is from Rfam. NCBI's taxonomy places the organism in Eukaryota, Viridiplantae, Streptophyta, Magnoliopsida, Poales, Poaceae.
AAAAAGACAAACCCUAGAUUUCCGUGUCCAACUUUGACUGUCCGUCUUAUAUGAAAUUUUUUUAUAAUUCGUAUUUUCAUUGUUGUUAGAUGAUAAAACAUGAUUAAUAUUUUAUACGUGACUUGUCUUUUUAAUUUUUAUAUAAUUUUUUCAAAUAAGACGGACGGUUAAACGUUGGACACGGAAACCAGAGUUUGUAUUUUUU